UACAGAGGGGGCAAGCGUUGUUCGGAAUUACUGGGCGUAAAGGGCGCGUAGGCGGCCUUCUAAGUCGAACGUGAAAUCCCCGGGCUCAACCCGGGAACUGCGUCCGAUACUGGAAGGCUUGAAUCCGGGAGAGGGAUGCGGAAUUCCAGGUGUAGCGGUGAAAUGCGUAGAUAUUGCUCGGAAGGCCGGAGCCGAAGGGGCCCUACUGGUGCGCAACUGACGCUGAUGCACGAAAGCGUGGGGAGCAAACAGG
Molecule: ribosomal RNA, 253 nt
Filed under: uncultured bacterium
Lineage: Bacteria
Description: partial 16S ribosomal RNA
Rfam family: Bacterial small subunit ribosomal RNA
Source: RNAcentral